Molecule: ribosomal RNA, 492 nt
Filed under: uncultured bacterium
Lineage: Bacteria
Description: partial 16S ribosomal RNA
Rfam family: Bacterial small subunit ribosomal RNA
Source: RNAcentral
AGUGAACGCUGGCGGUAGGCCUAACACAUGCAAGUCGAACGGCAGCACAGUAAGAGCUUGCUCUUACGGGUGGGGAGUGGCGGGCGGGAGAGGAAUACAUCGUAAUCUACUUUUUCGUGGGGGAUAACGUAGGGGAACUUAAUCUAAUACCGCAUACGACCUACCGGUGUAAGCAUGGGAAAUUCUCAGCUUGCGCGAUUGGAUGCGCCGAUGUGGUAGUAGAUAGUUGGGGGGGUAAUGGCCAACCAAGGCGGCGAUCCGUAGCUGGACUGAGAGGCUGAUCGGCCACACUGGAGCUGAGACACGCUCCAGACGCCUACGGGAGGGAGCAGUGGGGAAUGUUGGACAAUGGGCGCAAGUCUGAUCCAGCCAUACCGCGUGGGUGAAGGAGGCCUUCGGGUUGUAAAGACGUUUUGUUGGGAGAGAAGAGCAGCAGGUUAAUACCACGCGGUUCUGACGGUACCCAAAGAAUAAGCACCGGCUAACUUCGUG